AUUGAACGCUGGCGGCAGGCCUAACACAUGCAAGUCGAGCGCGCGUCGGGGGGGUGAGUAAAGUCUGGGAAACUGCCCGAUGGGGAGGGAUAAAUACUGGGGACGCGAUAUAAUACCGCAUACCAUCAGAUUUGCGCAGAUGGGAUUAGCUAGUGGGUGGGGUAACGGCCCACCUAGGCGCCGAUCCCUAGCUGGUGUGAGAGGAUGACCAGCCACACUGGAACUGAGACACGGUCCAGACUCCUACGGGAGGCAGCAGUGGGGAAUAUUGCACAAUGGGCGCAAGCCUGAUGCAGCCAUGCCGCGUGUGUGAAGAAGGCCUUCGGGUUGUAAAGCACUUUCAGCGGGGAGGCGUUACCCGCAGAAGAAGCACCGGCUAACUCCGUGCCAGCAGCCGCGGUAAUUC
This 406-nucleotide ribosomal RNA is filed under the name uncultured bacterium. RNAcentral describes it as "partial 16S ribosomal RNA". It matches the Rfam family "Bacterial small subunit ribosomal RNA", at positions 30 to 526 of the family's 1533-position model. The record is from RNAcentral.